Molecule: long non-coding RNA, 2439 nt
Organism: Tribolium castaneum (red flour beetle)
Lineage: Eukaryota; Metazoa; Arthropoda; Insecta; Coleoptera; Tenebrionidae
Exons: 2
Source: RefSeq, a predicted model, not a curated record
AAUUUUAAGACGUUUUGAUGGUCUAUAAAUCUCAGGAGCUUAAAUCCGGGCCCGGAUUAAUGAUUCAACCGGAUGGCGUGGCUGGGAAUUGGGUUUUGUGCAAAUUUUGUGUCAAAAAGUGCGCUUUAAGGGUCACAUGACCGACUUACGACUUUCGCUAUCGCACAGCACUUCGUUCCGUUUCAUGGCUAGUACCACACUGAACUAUAGUACCGCCACUAUCCGUACCAACCUUGUACCUAUGGAAAUAAGCGCCGAUUACAUCUAAAUUGAAUUUGAGUCAUUAAAUCGCCUCGUUUGGCUCAAAAUCACUGUCCGGUGUGCGUUCGUUCCAAGGGUGAAUAAUGGGCCUCGAACUCGUCACUUUUUACCAAUUUGGUGUAUUUUUCAGUCACGUAACGACCCACUUUGCGUUAACAAAGUGUACAAACAAGACGUUUAUUGUUGUUUAAAGUCUGCGUCAGAAGGACUGGUUUAAUUGCGGUUGCCCAACCGUAAAAUGUGUUUAACCAAGGAGAUAACCAUGUUUGCGCGAAAAUUUUUUCGGAAAAGUCGCCGGUAAUUAUCCAUAAUUGUAAAAAUCUGGGCCAAUUACGUCUAAUCGGGCGAUUAUCGUCAUCAUCAUCAUCAAGAAAAUCAACGCAAUUACCCGAAGAGUGAAAAUUCCAGUCCACUCCAGACGCGGAUUUACGGUACGCGUGAUCCCGGAAGGAAAUCCGGUCGAUUGUCAUUAAAAUUUUUCGGAUUAGUGGAAACGGAGCGGCACCAAAUCACACACACACAAGGGGAUAGGAGACCUACUGAGGAUGAUCUCUGUAUCCACAGCGAAAUUAAAUUCCGUCCUUGAAGGAUCUACGUAUUGUUAUGACCGGCAAUCACAAACAAGGCUGUGCGAAAAACGAGAAACCUCUAUUACAGGGCAAGAUUUUCGGAUUUGAUUGCAACAUAAGGGCCACGCGGACACGCUUGGUGGCCAACAAUUGAGGACAAAUUUUGCUGUGAAAAUUUAUUAAUUAAAAUAAUGAAGGUUAAACGAAUCUUGAAGAAAAUAAAAUAUGGUGAAAAAGUUGAAUGCUUUUAUUGAUCGGUCACGCUCGAUCAAUUACUACUAGAGUUAUAAUUGAGUAACAACUAACAAGUAAUCAUAUCUUUAUUACGUAACUAAAUCUGCUUGAAAAAAUUGUAUGUAAUUUAAAUAGAGUUUUAUUAGUUUAAUUAUGAAGAAAAAUUACAUAAACCUUCCAUCAAAGAUAAGAGUUUAAGGUUAAAAAUAGGAAAAUAAUUUAUGGUUGCCAAAACGCAGAGCUUUGAACCCUAGACACAGUCCAACAUAUUUUCACUUUCUUCCCUCUUUUAAAAUAGAACAAUACAGGGUGGCCCAGCUCAGCUCCCGUCUUUUGUAGCCAGCUAUUAGUAAAGUUGGAGUUUUGAUAUUUUAUAGACGUUAUUUAUACUCUAGAACGUGUUUCAGGAAAAUAUUUUUGAUUAUACACAGUGUCUCAAAAAAGUAUGACGUCCUAAUAAUACUUUUUUUAAUGACAUGCUAGAAUUUUUUGGUGCUCAUUAGGAUGCCUUUUUAGAUUCUUACAUGUUAAUUCAGUUGAGGGAUUACUGUUAAAAAAAUAAAAACAAAAAAAAUCGGUUAUACAUCUUUAGUUUUAAAAAUUAAAAAAAAUGGAAGCAACGUUUUUUUUUGAUAACAUUAUUACCAAGUACGUGUUGAACAAGAUUUAACAAACUUAUUAAUUAAGUUUGAUUAAUCUGAAUUACUACAGGGUGUUUACAAUUUAUUUUCAAACUUCUAAAAAUUUAGAGCCUUUUAUUUUGCUUAUUUUAAAUGGCAACCCCUGUUAAUUUUUGUAUCAUUCUAAAAAACUAAAAGUGUAAAAUCAAUUUUUUAACAGUAAUCCCUGAAUCGAUAAAAACAACUUUAGUAUGAAUGAGCACUAAAAAAUAGUAGCAUGCCAUUAAAAAAUUUAUUAUUAUGACGUGAUACUUUUUUGGGACUUUCUGUAUAAUCAAAAAAAUAUUUUCCUGAAAUACGUCCUAGAGUAUAAAUAACGUCUACAAAAUAUCAAAAGUCCAACUUUACUAAUAACUGAGCUACAGAAAACGGGAGCUGAGCUGGGCCACCUGUAUAGGAAUUUUGUAUUAGACGGUGUACAAGCAGUGAAAUAAUAUUUCUGGUCCAUUUUAAUCCGUGCUUUUUUACAAAGAGAUAAUCGGCUUCGUUUCCUCAUUGCGAGGCUUUUGCAACUGUAAUCGGCUUACGUCUGAAAAAAUUAAUCACUGGAUGCAUCCAAUCGUACUAAAAAUCCUUAAUUCGUCCACAAAACGUGCUAACUUCAUUAGACCACAUCUCUUCAUCCCUGGCACGAACCUGCACUUGUACUAAUAACCCAAUUAUCGCUUCAAUAAAACGUUUUCAAACAUUUAAAA